CUCUAUCUUCUUUUUUGUACCUGCCACAGAAAUAAUAAUUGCAUCUACAAAUUUGUUAUUAUUUUCCCAUUCCAUAGACAUGUUGCACGUCCCACCCACGAUCCAAUAGGACGGACAUCACAAUUCCUUUCCCUAGGGUCAAGUUAGGCCACUCAUGUUUGGACUUGGUUAGAAGAUGGCUUUGUCACAUUCCAAAUAUAACAAAAAUGAGGCUUUAUUAUUAUUCUGUGGGGGUAAAUAUGAAUGUUUU
Non-coding RNA from Pelobates cultripes (western spadefoot toad), 250 nucleotides. Lineage: Eukaryota; Metazoa; Chordata; Amphibia; Anura; Pelobatidae. The record is from the annotation of a GenBank genome assembly.